Molecule: ribosomal RNA, 207 nt
Filed under: uncultured bacterium
Lineage: Bacteria
Description: partial 16S ribosomal RNA
Rfam family: Bacterial small subunit ribosomal RNA
Source: RNAcentral
CACGUAGGCGGCUUUCUAAGUCAGGGGUGAAAUCCCGGAGCUCAACUCCGGAACUGCCUUUGAUACUGGAGAGCUUGAGUUCGGGAGAGGUGAGUGGAACUGCGAGUGUAGAGGUGAAAUUCGUAGAUAUUCGCAAGAACACCAGUGGCGAAGGCGGCUCACUGGCCCGAUACUGACGCUGAGGUGCGAAAGCGUGGGGAGCAAACA